UAAACGUCUCAGUUCGGAUUGUAGUCUGCAACUCGACUACAUGAAGCUGGAAUCGCUAGUAAUCGCAGAUCAGAAUGCUGCGGUGAAUACGUUCCCGGGUCUUGUACACACCGCCCGUCACACCAUGGGAGUCGGAAAUGCCCGAAGCCGGUGACCCAACCAAAAGGAGGGAGCCGUCGAAGGCAGGUCUGAUAACUGGGGUGAAGUCGUAACAAGGUACC
Molecule: ribosomal RNA, 221 nt
Filed under: uncultured bacterium
Lineage: Bacteria
Description: partial 16S ribosomal RNA
Rfam family: Bacterial small subunit ribosomal RNA
Source: RNAcentral